RNAcentral lists this ribosomal RNA (775 nucleotides) under uncultured Neocallimastigales. RNAcentral describes it as "partial large subunit ribosomal RNA". It matches the Rfam family "Eukaryotic large subunit ribosomal RNA", at positions 25 to 635 of the family's 3401-position model. The record is from RNAcentral. Lineage: Eukaryota; Fungi; Neocallimastigomycota; Neocallimastigomycetes; Neocallimastigales.
ACACUGACGUCGCGACGCAUAUCAAUAAGCGGAGGAAAAGAAACUAACAAGGAUUCCCUUAGUAACGGCGAGUGAAGCGGGAAGAGCUCAAAUUUGAAAUCUUCAAGGUUCUACCUUGACGAAUUGUAGUUUAAAGAAGUGUUUUCUGUUAGAUGAGUAGCAAAAGUUCCUUGGAAUAGGGACAUCAUAGAGGGUGAGAAUCCCGUAUUUGGUCAUUCCUUCUAGCUUUGUGAUACACUUUCAAAGAGUCGGAUUGUUUGGGAAUGCAGUCCAAAAUGGGUGGUAAAUUUCAUCUAAAGCUAAAUAUUGGCGAGAGACCGAUAGCGAACAAGUACCGUGAGGGAAAGAUGAAAAGAACUUUGAAAAGAGAGUUAAACAGUACGUGAAAUUGUCAAAAGGGAAGCGUUUGACACCAGUGUUGUUUUUCCGAAAAUCAAUUAUAAAUGUUUUGUUUCUGAGGAGUGAUGACUUCAUCGGCUUCCUUCUCUCUUCACGAAACUUUUGUAAUGCACUUUUCGGUUAACAAGUCAACAUCAAUUUCUUUUGUUGUAAAAGAGUAUUCGGAAGGUGGCUUUCUUUUCGGAGAAAGUGUUUAUAGCCCUAUACUUCUACAAUCGGAGAGAUUGAGGUCUGCAGCGUAGAUCCUUCGGGGUUAGACUACACUUGUGCUAAGUUAUAGCUUUUCAUAGACAACUUGUUGACUAUGUUUAGUCUUGUAGCUUACUCGCUUGUGCUAUUUUACCUACGCUUAGGAUGUUGAGUCGUAGAGCACGCA